This is a long non-coding RNA of Symphalangus syndactylus (siamang), 1815 nucleotides long. RefSeq lists it as uncharacterized. Lineage: Eukaryota; Metazoa; Chordata; Mammalia; Primates; Hylobatidae. The record is from RefSeq and is a predicted model, not a curated record.
AGCAGGCAGUGUGGCUGGGAGGGGGAGGCUCUAGACUGAAGCAGAGGCCGGCAGGGCCUGAUAGCCAAGAUCAGGAGUGUACUUUAUCUGAGAGUGGUAGGAAGCCGUGGGAGUAAUUUAAACAUGGAAGGGACACGAUCAGUUUUUGUUUCAAAGAAAUCUCCUUGAAGAAAUGAGGUGCAGUCCCUGGCAAGAGCUGGCCCCAUGGGGAGUGCUUUGUUGACAGUGCCCAGUGCCCAGCAACCAGGCUGGGUUUGGGAAGGAGGCUGGAGUCUUCAGGAGGAAGGUCCUGCCCAAGAUGGUGCAGAGGGCUGGAGUGAAAUGGUGUGACCUCGGCUCCCUGCAACGUCUGCCUCCCAGGUCCAAAGGAUUCUCCUGCCUCAGCCUCCCAAGUAGCUGGGAUUACAGGCGCCUGCCACCACACCCAGCUAAUUUUUUGUAUUUUUUAGUAGAGAUGGGGUUUCACCAUGUUGGUCAGGCUGGUCUCAAACUUCUGACCUCAGAUGAUCCACCCUCCUUGGCCUCUCAAAGUGUUGAGAUCACAGGCGUGAGCCACCACGCCCGACCCUGAAUGUUUCUGAAGCAUGCUGUUUCUUCAUUCUGGAAUAUUCACUAAAAGAGCCCCUACUAAUAAUUAACCCAGUAGUAAUAAUAAUGCCCACCGUUUGUCAUUCUUUCCAUGUGCUCCGUACAUUACAUGUGCAUCUCAGUUUAUCCCAAUCAGUAGGCGGUUCCAUCCUUCAAUUUCAUUUUGCAAAUAAAGAAACCAAAGCUCACAGGGGAUAUGUAACUUGCCGAAGGUCACAUAGCCACAGAGGGCAGAGGCUGAAUUCAAACCACUCACUCUGACUCAGCAUCUACCUCAGAGCAGCCAUUCAGUGGCCUCUUGUGACACAUAAAGCAAGAAGAUACCAGUGAGUGUUUGGACCAUGUCUUCUUGGUAAAGUUACCAUUAGUCUGACCACAGAUGUUUCUCAAGAAGCAGUGAAGGGUUUGGUUUGGUGAUGUCAGUGGCUGGGGUCACAUGAACCAAACCAUUGCUAAGCUGUGAUGUCUGAGGCUGCCAUGAACUGGUUAUUGCCCAGAUUUAAAAGAAAGGUGGAAAAAAUUAUCCUAGUCUACCAUAUGGCUCAGCUGGCCAUAGUGUUUACAUAGUCAGAAAAUGUCAACACAGAAUAGCGAUAUAAUCAAAAUUACCCUCUACGGUGUGGCUGUAUUGGGAAGAGAGAGGCGGGGGUGGGUGUGAGGCAACAGGAGCUAAAAGAACUCCUCGUCUCCCAGGGCAGGAAAUCAAGAAAAAACUCCUAAAACUACACAGAUCAAGAAGAAACUAUGUGAGAUGUUAUUUAGAGACAUGAAAAUGAACAUUCCCAAGAAUCCGUUUCAAGAGUUGAAAGUGGCCACCCUGGAGAUGGGUCAGGGCUGCAGUUGUUCAUGACUAACCUUUGUACAUUUCUGAGAAAUCUGUGCUUACGUGUAACUUCGCUUAAAAUAAAAAAUUUAAUAAAAUCCAAAGCAAAAACAAACAGAGCAAUUCUGGCCCCAUUUGGGGAGGGAGUGGGCUGUGAUUACGAGAAUAAGGGCCCAGGAGGCGGGGAUUCCUCUGUCAGGUAUGCAACGGGAAGCUGGUGGGGUCUUGGCAAGGCUUUGGUGGAGAGAGGUCAUUGGAAUGGUGACCUCACUUGGAACUGGUGAGGGCAGGAGAAGGUAGGAGGGUUAAAAAAGAAGAAGCAGAACCGAAGGAGAAAAAAAGGAAGCCUGGUCAUUCCACAGCCAAGAUCAUACUCCCAGGAGACCUACAGCCUUUCGUCAGGG